Molecule: long non-coding RNA, 1473 nt
Organism: Pantherophis guttatus
Lineage: Eukaryota; Metazoa; Chordata; Lepidosauria; Squamata; Colubridae
Source: RefSeq, a predicted model, not a curated record
CCUCCUCCUCCUCCUCCCGCUCCCGCUCCCGCUCUUUCUAGACGGGGCGGGCGGGCAAGCGAGAGGAGGGAGUCCGCGGCUCAGCGCCCGGCUCUGCAAAAGAGAGAAAGGAAGGGACAGGGAAGCAUCCAAUUCAUCUGAUUCAGAGGUGAUGUCUGACUGAAGCAAGUGAAUGCUUCGAGCUGUUUCCAGCUGAGAGAUGAGUCAUCAGGAAAAGGGAAAGAAAGGAAAGUAACAACUCAACAUAAAAAUGCAUAACUCAUGGUCCUCCAGGUGCUGAACCCUGACAUCCAAGAAGAUCCAACAGCACAGAGAACAGUGAAGAAUGCUGGGAAAGGUGUCACAGGUAAGCUGAUUGAAAGAAGACACAAGAGUUUGUUUUUAUACACAACAGUGGCAGCAAGACUUUUAUAUGCACAGAGUUGGAAAGAUACACAAAUUCUCACACCUGAAGAGUGGAUCAUGAGACUAAUGGAACUGGCACAGGUGGCAAAAUUGACUACUUUGAUGAAAGACAAAAGUUUUUCUAGGUUUGUUUCUACUAGGAGAUCAUGUUGAAUGUCUUGGUUGAGUGAGAUGAAAAUGAAGUUUUGGUUUUAGAAAGUGAUAAUUAGAUUUGUUAUAACUAUAUAAAUAUUGGGAAUUUUUAUUAUUACUAGAUGUAUAUUUUUUAAUGUUUAUGUUUAAACAGAAAAAGUUAUUUUUAUAUAUCUAAUUUUUGUGUUUUUAUGAUUAUUUGGUUUGUAUGUUGUUUAUAUGGUGUUUUUAUUUUAAUCUAGAGUAAGUAGUUAUUUUGUUAUAUAUUUGUAUCUGUAUUUUUUUUUGUAUUGUAUUGUAUUGUAAGUCAAAAGUCAAUUUUUGUACCUCUUUCCACCCUUUUUUCUUCUUUUUAACUUUUUUCCCUUUAAUCCCUUUGUCUUUUUAAAACAUUUUCAUAUUUGUUACUUUGUAUUUUAAUUGUCUUUGAAAUUGGGUAAAGUUUGUUUUUUAAAAAACCAAAUAAAGCAUUGAAUAAAUAGCAACAAUAUAAUCCAAUAGCAUCACAUCAAUUUCACCUCCAUACAAACAACACAACAGUUCUUUGAUGUCCCAGUGACAAUUGUGAAGGUCUGUGGGAAUCUGAGUUGUGAAAUUCAUCUAAGGUAGGAAUCCUUUAAAUAAGUGCUUCUUAACUUUAGGUACUCUAAGCAAUCUGGACUUCAAAUCCCAGAAUUCUCUCACCAAUAUGCUAGGGAAUUCUGGAAGCUGAAGUCCACAUAUCUUACCAAAGUUGAGAAACACUGCUUUAAGCAUUGCAAGAUUCUUUAUUACCUAUAUUAAUAUUAAUACAUAGUAAGCAAAUCAUACAGGCAAUAGAGGUUGCCAUUUGUUAAAGUUAUUGAACUAAAAAUCGAUUAUACUGUAUAUCUCUGAUCAGUUUUAUUUGUGAUUGCAAACUACAAGACACCAGUAAAAGCACUAAAUGUUUUAUUU